Molecule: long non-coding RNA, 1567 nt
Organism: Corticium candelabrum
Lineage: Eukaryota; Metazoa; Porifera; Homoscleromorpha; Homosclerophorida; Plakinidae
Exons: 8
Source: RefSeq, a predicted model, not a curated record
CACACACACACACACACACACACACACACCACUCCCUCCGAAGGUCUGGCCACGCGAGGCUACUUUACAGUAGGGUUGGUUAUACGUAACGUGGUACUGUACCGGCAAGUUUUGGCGACGGUAAUAUGUUGCCGAAAUGAUCCAGAAUGUCUUUCAAUUUUGGCGAAUAAUAUCUACGGGUUUCAUUAACGUAUGGUGUCACCAGAUCUUGAGAUAUAGUUGGACAAGAGACGUAUUGCUAAAGAAAAAGAAGAAAUGGCUCGUAAAGAGACUGUGCAAAAUGAAAUUGAACACGAGAAGAGACUCCAGAGCCUAGACGAAGAAAUUGAGAGAAUACAGAAAUCAUUGCUGAGAUUGGAAGAGAACGGAGAUUUGUUGGGAGAGGAGAUUCACAGUGCAAAGGAAGGUGCAUGAGACCAAGCCCAAGAUAGAAAGAGCAAGAACGGCUGCUAGUGGAGAAAAGAAACGGCAAAUGAAAUUAGAAGCCAAGCAAGCUAAGAAGAUAGCUCAAUCAUAAGGUGUCUGAGGAUACUCGCAACAGAGCACAAGAGGCAGGGCGUUUGCCAUCUGCAUUGUCAGAAGCAAAAGAAGCAGAAAAGGGUGGCAAACGUCAAAGUUGGAUAUAUAAUGCCAUCACCUGGUCUGGUAAGAGCAAAGUUGUAUAUUUUGAAAACAUUUUGAACAUUUGAAAUGCACAUUGAGUGUAGAUCGUAGAGUAGAGUGUGCACAUUUAAAUAAUGGAACGUGUAACCGAUUGUUUGUUUGCCGAGCAACAUGAAUCUUUCUUACUUCAAAAUUUUUCCACAUUUCUUACAUCUUUGGAAUAUUAUAAUUGUUUGUCACUUGAAAAAUAUAAUCAUGAUGGCUUUAGAACAUUUAGAGAAUUGCUUUUCCUUGCUUGUUUUACUUGUUGGAUGGUCAGGAUGAUGAACCAAGUGAUUCUUCAUCAAGUGAUGCUUCAUCAGUCAUUAGAUGAAGAUGCACGUGAGCUGAUUAGUGAAAGAGAGUUUGAAGAGCUGUCAAACAGAUGGGAAAAGACAGAUUAAAAUAUCUGACAAAGAGCAAACAUUUCAAGCGUGGGCUGAGUCGGUGAAAUUUGCCAUCAAUAGUAUGCAACUGGAUAUGAGGCAUGAUGAAAAUACUUGUAAAGGAAGCUCAUGGUAUUCAACUUUGGAAAAGAUUACUGCAGGUAGCUUUCAAGCAAGAGUUGCAUUUUUUGAAGAAUUGGAUUGGCCGUGUACAUCUGGCACAGUUGUGUUUGUUUGCCAAGACGUGAUGUGCAUGCGUGAUUGUAUUUCACAGCUGAAGAAACCGCCAAAGACAUUAGAUGCUACAAUAAAUAACUUUACAGGCCUGGAUCCAGGAAUUUUUUAAGAGGGGGUUGACCUGGUAGCUGUUAUUUAUAGCAUUACUAAUUUUCUCUUUUCUAAUGAAAUUAUAUGAAAUUAUUGAACCACACCUAUUGGAAAAGAGGGAGUUGAAACCCCCUGAACCCCUAUCUGGAUCCGAGCCUGCUCUACUUAGAAGAUAAAAUUUUAUGAAAUUUUAGUGAUACAAUAUGUAUUAA